CUGAGGCUCAGAGAGGCAAAUAGACUGGCCCCAGGUUUCCAGCUGGUACAUGGCAGAGUUGGAUUCGAACCCACCUCCCCAGACCCAUCCAGGAAAUCCUACCCUGCUCGCCCACAGGUGGGGGUUGGGGAGUCUUGUAGGCCCUUGUGGUUCUCAUCUGAACAACAGGCCUUCUCAGGGCUAGCUCAGGGCUAGCUCAGCCAAUCCUAGCUCAGGAUUGGCUCCAAUAAUUUGGAAUCUGUGCCCAAAAAAAUGUGGUACCUUGUUAGGGUGUCCAGAAAACUGCACGGGGAAGGAGCAGAGUGGCAGGCGGUCGGCUCCAGGACUUGUGGCCCUGCGCCUGGACAGGGGAGCCUGGAGGCUAAGGUUACCACGAGGCAAUGUUGUAUUUAUAGUAGGAAGCUGCCUGUCCUGGGAGCUGCCAGCCCCACACCCGGUCCAGGGAAGGGGCUUCCCUCACAGCUGUCUGGAUUCUAGGCCUGGCUCCGCCCCUGAGCGAAGCCCAGCACGGGACGGGCCCCUUUCCCAUGGAGACUCAGUUCCCCCAUCUGUAAAAUGGGGCCCUACCAUGUCCCUUGCUGGGUCUGGAGACAGUGUCUCUAAGGGCUGGUGUGGCCUGGACGGAGGGGCCGGAAGGUGCUGGCUCCAGGCACUCUGGGUCUGUUGAUUGUCCCUUCCUGCCUUUGACUCCUGGCCGGCCCCCUCCCCUCCCGGCAGAACUCUGCAGGAAGAGAGUCCAGCCUCUGCCCUGACAGAACCCACGUGUUUGGGAGGGCUUCCAGCAAAGCCGUUUUACAAUUCCCAGCCCCACAGAAUAGGCCGUUGUUAUUCUCAGCAGAGCAACGAGGGCAAGUCCCUCCGAGCCCGGGGUUCGAAUCUCGACUCUACUGCCCUGUCUCCCGGCUCUGUGGCCUCAGGUCCUGCUCUUGGAAAGGAAAUGUCUUCCCCCAGGAGAGGCAGGCUUGGUCCCAGGGUCUCGUCAUCUCUCAGGGUGUCCCCUCCUGUUGAUGAGGGCUUCCCUCUUUCUAGACAGAUUUGAAUUUGCAUUUAAAAGCACAGACAUAAGCGGCUGAGCGAUUGUGUCACCACGCCAGCAAGGAAAAGCAUAACCAAGAGAAACGUGAGCCGUUAACUGCCGCGAAGCUCCAUUGAUUCCUUAUUUGCUCGCGCACCGGAGCGGGUGCUGGCCGGACAGCUCCCGCUCGGCCACCGCGGUCCCCGGAUGAAGAGCCGGGGUCUGAGCUCAGGGCAAAUGACGGUGGGAAUAGAUGGGGAGGUGAAUUAGGGGUCCGUGCGCCAUCUCUCCUUGAUCCCGCGCCACCGCACCACGCAGAGGCUCGCUGUCCGUUUGACGAGUGGCCGCACGAACGAAACCAGCGUAACCGGAGCGGGGUGGCCGUGAACGCCGCGUGUCGUUUCGUAUGAGAUGAGACCUGGCUUCAAAACGUUUGCAAACACUAGAGGUUGUCUCUAAGGGUCGAUGACGUCAACCGAAUAGCGAGAAAUAAAGCUGGAAUUUAAAACAUUAAUAUUAGUAAUUAAAUAUAAUUUUUAUUCA
Long non-coding RNA from Lutra lutra (Eurasian river otter), 1558 nucleotides. RefSeq lists it as uncharacterized. The transcript has 3 exons. The record is from RefSeq and is a predicted model, not a curated record. NCBI's taxonomy places the organism in Eukaryota, Metazoa, Chordata, Mammalia, Carnivora, Mustelidae.